Oreochromis aureus is the source of this 2809-nucleotide long non-coding RNA. Lineage: Eukaryota; Metazoa; Chordata; Actinopteri; Cichliformes; Cichlidae. The record is from Ensembl.
GCUUGGUUGUUGUUGUUUGGAACAUGUUGUUUUGUUGCCAUAGCGAUGCCUCCAGGGACCAUAAAAUGACAUCACAGCAUUUAAACAUGUUUUGAAUGAAAACAUCAGCAUAUGAACACAAAACUGAAGAGACACUGCAACCGCAUGAAAGCAGACCACUAUUUAGUGACAUUUCGACGUUUCCCUGAGGAUUAACUGCUCCGUAAUUUACCAAGAACUAAAGUAAGCUCAAAUUUCAGUUUAUAAACUUAAGAUCAUUUACUUAAAUAUAUAAAUGUAAUAUUUGACAAAUUAUACAUAAAUUUGAAAAUGUUCUUAAUCAUAUCUUAGAGUGACAGAAGCUCUUUUUAACACGAUUAUUUCUGAGAUUAUUUUGUUCAUUUAGGAAAAUAGAGAAGACUUAAGUUUUGUUCUCAAACAAACUGAGGCUGCGUCCACAUGUACACGGCUAUUUUUGAAAGCGCAGCUUUGUCUCUGCAUUCGGGCCUUUCGUCCACACCUAAACAGCAGAUUGAGUCACUGAAAGGUGAGAUUUUUUUAAAACUCCUGCCAGGGUGGAGAUUUUUGAAAACGACGUUUUUGUGUUUAGGUGUGGAUGAGGAAAACGGACAUAUGGACUGGAUUUUUUUUUUUAAAUGAAAAAGGAAAACGUCCGUUUUCAAACAUAGCCGUUCAAAAUGAGUGGAAGUGGAGAUGGAUUUCAAACUAACCGUAACGGCCAACAGGUUAACCCACAAUCAAUUGCAAGUGGAGAUCAGGAACCUGCUCAUCAACCAGCUAACCGAAGAGCUAACCGAAGAGCUAACCGGCGAGCUAACCGACGAGCUAACCGACCAGCUAACCGACCAGCUAACGAAGAUAUCGGUGGACUCCGGGGCUUCGCGAACGAUCUUUAUCUUGCUCUUCGUGAUAUUUAUUUGUUUCUGGAUAGGCUAAUAGCUUCAGUACUGGAACAAUAUGACAAUUACCUUUACAAUGACACUGACACUGACGAUGACACUGACGAUGACGAUGACAAUGACAACAAUGUCAAUGUUCAAAAUAUUAAUGUAAGGGAAUUUAAUGCUAAUGCUGACAACAAUGAACAGCAUGAGGAUCAUAAUGCUGUGGUUGUUGUUGGCAUUGAAAAUGAGGAUUCGGAUGAGGCAUUUGAAGACUGUGUGGAUGUUGACCAGCACAUCCCAGAAGAGGACCCUCAGCCAGGUGUAUCCAGGAGGAGGUCUAGAGAGAUGGAUGAAGAAGAAGAUGUGGAACCAAACAAAAGAAUCAGAUGGAGCGAGGAGUUUUCUGAUGAUGACUCUGACUUCUUCUCUGCUUGUGACACUGAUAGCGAGAGCUGUCCUCGUGUAGGUAAUAUUGCCGAUGAGGACAUCAGUCAGCAGUCAACAGAAGAAGAACCGCAGCCUGGUGGAUCCACGAAAAGGUCCAGAGAGGAAGAUGUUGAUGAAGAAGAGCGUGAUAGCAAAAAAUCCAGGCUUGCACACUCUGAUUCGGGGACCAGCUCAGCUGUGUGUACGACCACUCUGAGAGCAGCAGUGAUGAACUUUUUGAAGAUGCACACGAAGAGCUUGGCAACCAUGAAGGUGGAGGCUCGAGGAAGUGUUCCCGAGAGGAUUUUGAGGAAGAAGAGGAAUACUUGCCUGUAUGCAAAUUUCGGAGGUGUUCAACUGAGUCCAGCAGCAGCAGUGAUGAAGACUAACACCAUUUCGACGGGUUUCUUCAGUAUCCUUUUAGUAGGCUGAUGGCCUACUCAGGUGACCCUGAAUCCUCCAUGCUGCAAUAAGCUGGGCAUACACUGUGCUGCAAUUUUUUCAGUCGCGUUAUUCAGCUCCUGGUCAAACUGUACGAUUGACUCACAGGGAUGAGAAGUUUGUGCCUCCAUCGCUCGUGUCCAGAUCACACGCCGCACCGCCGUUCUGCUCCGUCUUUUCACACUCAUUUCUGCGUUUGCGCGUGCGCAGUGUAAGACGCUAUGUUCACAGGAAAAUGCCACCAAUACACAAUGGCGAUAUGACAUACACAGCACAAAUAAAAGCAUAAUAGGAAAAUUAAUAGAAUAAAUCUAUACAAACAUGGCCAGCAUUAACCGGUAGAAAAGGCAAGAUUAAACAAAUACGUUUUAAGCCGUGAUUUAAAAGAUUGGAUAGAAUCAGAUGCCCGGAUGCCAAUCGGAAGGUUGUGCGCGUGCGCAGUGUAAGAUGCUGUGGUGACGCCCUCAGGACGGCCGACAGGAUUUCAAACAGGUUUGAUUUUCUUACGAGCAAACGAUUGAUGAUCGGGAGCUGGUCGAGAAGUGUUAAUCGCUUCUCGUUACCCCAUGUAGACGAUGCACGACACACGAUCCUCCAAACGGUCGCACGACUGAAAAAUCGGCUCAAGAUGGGCUAAAAAUCGCACAGUGUAUGCCCAGCAUUAGGCUGCCGGGGGAUUCCCAUGAUGCACUGGGUGUUUCUUCUUCACCCACUAUGUUUAAUAGACCUCUCUGCACUGAAUCGUACUUGUUAUUAACCUCUGUCUCUCUUCCACAGCAUCUCUUUAUCCUGUUUUCCUUGCCCCUCCCCAACCGGUCGCAGCAGAUGGCCGCCCCUCCCUGAGCCUGGUUCUGCUGGAGGUUUCUUCCUGUUAAAAGGGAGUUUUUCCUUCCCACUGUCGCCAAAGUGCUUGCUCAUAGGGGGUCAUAUGAUUGUUGGGGUUUUCUUUGUAAGUAUACCUUACAACAUCAAGUGCCUUGAGGUGACUGUUGCUGUCAUUUGGUGCUCUAUAAAUAAAAUUGAAUUGAAAAUUGAAUAGAUGUCACUGUGAUGAUUUC